Molecule: ribosomal RNA, 482 nt
Filed under: uncultured bacterium
Lineage: Bacteria
Description: partial 16S ribosomal RNA
Rfam family: Bacterial small subunit ribosomal RNA
Source: RNAcentral
AUUGAACGCUGGCGGCAUGCCUUACACAUGCAAGUCGAACGGUAACAGGUCUUCGGAUGCUGACGAGUGGCGAACGGGGGAGUAAUACAUCGGAACGUGCCCGAUCGUGGGGGUUAACGAGGCGAAAGCUUUGCUAAUACCGCAUACGAUCUACGGCUGACAGCGGGGGAUCUUCGGACCUCGCGCGGACGGAGCGGCCGAUGGCAGAUUAGGUAGUUGGUGGGAUAAAAGCUUACCAAGCCGACGAUCUGUAGCUGGUCUGAGAGGAUGAUCAGCCACACUGGGACUGAGACACGGCCCAGACUCCUACGGGAGGCAGCAGUGGGGAAUUUUGGACAAUGGGCGAAAGCCUGAUCCAGCCAUGCCGCGUGCAGGAUGAAGGCCUUUGGGUUGUAAACUGCUUUUGUACGGAACGAAAAGCCUCUUUCUAAUAAAGAGGUGUCAUGACGGUACCGUAAGAAUAAGCACCGGCUAACUACGUG